Molecule: ribosomal RNA, 253 nt
Filed under: uncultured bacterium
Lineage: Bacteria
Description: partial 16S ribosomal RNA
Rfam family: Bacterial small subunit ribosomal RNA
Source: RNAcentral
UACGUAGGUGGCAAGCGUUGUCCGGAAUUACUGGGUGUAAAGCGCGUGUAGGCGGCAGACCAAGUCGGCGGUGAAAGCGCCCGGCUCAACUGGGCGAGGUCCGUGGAAACUGGUCAGCUGGAGGACGGUAGAGGCGAGUGGAAUUCCCGGUGUAGUGGUGAAAUGCGUAGAUAUCGGGAGGAACACCAGUGGCGAAGGCGACUAUCUGGGCUGCAACUGACGCUGAGGAGCGAAAGCGUGGGGAGCGAACAGG